GUGCUUGCUUCGGCAGCACAUACACUAAAAUCAGAAAGAUACAGAGAAGAUUAGCAUGGCCUCUGCACAAGGAUGAUGUACAAAUUUGUAAAGCAUUCCAUAUUUUU
This 107-nucleotide small nuclear RNA is filed under the name Catagonus wagneri (Chacoan peccary). Lineage: Eukaryota; Metazoa; Chordata; Mammalia; Artiodactyla; Tayassuidae. The record is from RNAcentral.